RNAcentral lists this ribosomal RNA (664 nucleotides) under Staphylococcus aureus. Its description in RNAcentral is "partial 23S ribosomal RNA". It matches the Rfam family "Bacterial large subunit ribosomal RNA", at positions 897 to 1561 of the family's 2925-position model. Lineage: Bacteria; Bacillati; Bacillota; Bacilli; Caryophanales; Staphylococcaceae. The record is from RNAcentral.
UGGAGGUAGAGCACUGUUUGGACGAGGGGCCCCUCUCGGGUUACCGAAUUCAGACAAACUCCGAAUGCCAAUUAAUUUAACUUGGGAGUCAGAACAUGGGUGAUAAGGUCCGUGUUCGAAAGGGAAACAGCCCAGACCACCAGCUAAGGUCCCAAAAUAUAUGUUAAGUGGAAAAGGAUGUGGCGUUGCCCAGACAACUAGGAUGUUGGCUUAGAAGCAGCCAUCAUUUAAAGAGUGCGUAAUAGCUCACUAGUCGAGUGACACUGCGCCGAAAAUGUACCGGGGCUAAACAUAUUACCGAAGCUGUGGAUUGUCCUUUGGACAAUGGUAGGAGAGCGUUCUAAGGGCGUUGAAGCAUGAUCGUAAGGACAUGUGGAGCGCUUAGAAGUGAGAAUGCCGGUGUGAGUAGCGAAAGACGGGUGAGAAUCCCGUCCACCGAUUGACUAAGGUUUCCAGAGGAAGGCUCGUCCGCUCUGGGUUAGUCGGGUCCUAAGCUGAGGCCGACAGGCGUAGGCGAUGGAUAACAGGUUGAUAUUCCUGUACCACCUAUAAUCGUUUUAAUCGAUGGGGGGACGCAGUAGGAUAGGCGAAGCGUGCGAUUGGAUUGCACGUCUAAGCAGUAAGGCUGAGUAUUAGGCAAAUCCGGUACUCGUUAAGGCUGAGC